This 305-nucleotide ribosomal RNA is filed under the name uncultured bacterium. Its description in RNAcentral is "bacterial SSU rRNA". It matches the Rfam family "Bacterial small subunit ribosomal RNA", at positions 333 to 653 of the family's 1533-position model. The record is from RNAcentral.
UUCUGCCUACGGGGCGCAGCAGUGGGGGAUAUUGCACAAUGGGGGAAACCCUGAUGCAGCGACGCCGCGUGGGCGAAGAAGUAUUUCGGUAUGUAAAGCCCUAUCAGCAGGGAAGAAGAAAUGACGGUACCUGGGUAAGAAGCACCGGCUAAAUACGUGCCAGCAGCCGCGGUAAUACGUAUGGUGCAAGCGUUAUCCGGAUUUACUGGGUGUAGAGGGAGCGCAGGCGGCACGGCAAGUCUGAUGUGAAAGCCCGCGGCCCAACCGCGGGACUGCAUUGGGAACUACCGGGCUGGAGUGCCGGG